CGGCGGACGGGUGAGUAACGCGUGGGUAACCUACCCUGUACACACGGAUAACAUACCGAAAGGUAUGCUAAUACGGGAUAAUAUAUUUGAGAGGCAUCUCUUAAAUAUCAAAGGUGAGCCAGUACAGGAUGGACCCGCGUCUGAUUAGCUAGUUGGUAAGGUAACGGCUUACCAAGGCGACGAUCAGUGGCCGACCUGAGAGGGUGAUCGGCCACAUUGGGACUGAGACACGGUCCAA
This 238-nucleotide ribosomal RNA is filed under the name uncultured bacterium. RNAcentral's name for it is "partial 16S ribosomal RNA". It matches the Rfam family "Bacterial small subunit ribosomal RNA", at positions 96 to 334 of the family's 1533-position model. The record is from RNAcentral.